UCCAAUUGAUCCUCCCAGGAACCAAGAGGCGACCAGCCUCGCGGCAGCUGUACAUUAAACGCAAAGUCAAGGGGGGGAAAGGGCUCGCGGGACAGAAGUAGAAAAAGAAAUGAAAAUUGACACCGGAUGAACAGCGAGCUCGGGGAGAGGAAGAAACUUCGGUGACCGUGUGCCCCAGAGCAGAUCAAAGUCCGGGGAAGAGCCGCAACCUCACGCGGCCUCGGCCACUUGUCCUGCAUUGUUCCCGGCUGAGUGGACGGAGGAGUUGGUGCUGCCGCAGCUUGCUCACCGAAGUACCGGCUCCCAGGACACAACGAACACCCCCGAUGGAUAUUAAAUCAGCGCUGUGGCUCACUGGCCCGGCGACUGACAAAUGGAGUCGGACCUGGAAUCCAGUCGUGGCUUUACCCCUCACUAUCUUGGAGACCCUAGUCACUUUCUUUACUUCCCAAAACGUUCAUCAUCUGAAACGGAGAGAACCCAGUCUCUUAGAAUUGUGAUGAUUAAAGCAGAUCAGAAUGAAGAUGAUAAUGUGCAGCAUUGCUGGAAAGAUCGAAUGAGAUAAAGACUAAUGUGCUUAGUGCAUUUCCUGGCACACAGUAGACACCCAGUAAAUGGUGAUGUCAUUUAUUUUUGCCUCCACCUCACCCGCACAGCGGAAUUCAAGAGAGAGACACAACGAGAGAGGGAACACAAGCAGUGGGAGUGGGAGAGGGAGAAGCAGGCCCCCACGCCAAGCAGGGAGCCCGAGAUGCGGGGCUUUGACCCCAGGACCACGACCCGAGCUGAAGGCAGAUGCCCAACAACUAAGCCACUCCGGUGCCCCUUGUCUGUCUGUUUUUAAAUGGACUUUUUUUUUUUUUAACAGUACAUGUUGACAGCAGAGAAACUAGAAGAAAAGUCAGAUUUCAGAUUGGUGAACUGGGGGAAAAAGUUUAUUAAUGUGCCUGGUUUUCCCACGCAAGAUUCUGCAAUGUCUUGCAGCACUAGAAGUAAAGAAGAGAUAGCUUUAAGUCAGAGGAAGCAUCGGCGGUCCCAGAUAGGAAUAGAUGUGAAGCAAACUGCAGCAUGUAUGACAUGAGGGAAUAAAACUUGGGGAUUUCUGAGUUCUCGCCUUUCAAUCUCCCUCAACUCCAAGCUUGAUCCUCCUGAGAAAACCCUUAUGACUUACCCCUUUUGGGCCUCACUUUCAGUAUCUUUAAAAAUAAAAGCUAUUCAUACCUUUCACUUGUCUGUGGUGGAUAGAGGCAAAGAAAAAAACAGUUGAUCAAAGUAGACUUUGAAUUCUUGUUGAAGGACUCUGUAGUUAUUACAUUUGUGGGGCUUGAAAUGUUAAAGGAGCAGUUACCUUUGAAAAUAAAACACAGGCUAGCUGGAUACUGAAUCUGACAGUAUUUGCUAACCCCAGUACCUAUCAAGACCCUAAAAUUCACCAAAGACAACCAGUGGCGUGAUGGUUAGAAAUAUCUUUACACCAAGACUAUUAUUCUGGGCAAAGAAGUUUCAUCCCCAACAAUAAUACCUAUAAUCAGAGGGUAUUCCAGGUCCAGAGAAAACCCAUGAAAAAGCC
Molecule: long non-coding RNA, 1570 nt
Organism: Mirounga angustirostris (Northern elephant seal)
Lineage: Eukaryota; Metazoa; Chordata; Mammalia; Carnivora; Phocidae
Exons: 5
Source: RefSeq, a predicted model, not a curated record